CGUUCUGACGCCCGGCAGAAAUUUUUAGCCGCGGUAAUAGGCAAAAAACAACGACUCACAUCCACAACGCUUAUGGAUCACAAAAAAAUUAUCACACAGUUAUUUAUUUGCAAUUAAACCAUAAAACCAUUUAAACUAUAUUAAAAAAAAUUUAAAAAACAACCAUGAUAUCUGCAUUUUUAAUUUGAAAAAAAAAUUAAUUUGACAUGUGCAAUAUGUAAACAAGUGAAUAGUGAAUUUGUUGUUAUUGUUGUUAUCAUAAUUAUUAAUUAUUUUGAUAAAUGUGUAAUAAUGUGUUUGUGUUUUGUGAAUAGUGUCAAAGGAUUUAUUAAAUUUUAAACUCCAAUUUUAUCUUCUUGAUUUGCAAAACAUCGAAAAAAAAAAUGGAGUCCCGAGGAAAAAAAGUAAGGUGCGAUGGAAGAGCCAGCAGCUUUUCCAGGUAACCAUGAGAAAGAAAAUUUAAAAAAUGACAGUGACAAUGCGGUAAAUGUAACUGAUGAGAAAAAUAAUAUACAGCUUCUCUCAGUUGAUAAAAUUACUGUCGAAAAAAUAGUAAAAGAAGAAAGAGAUCGUGAAGGACAUUUGAGAAAAUUUGAAAAGAUAAAAAAAUCAUCAGAAUUAACGACAAAAAAAAUUGUAGGAAAAUUUGGUACAAAAGAAAUUUCUAAAUUGUCAACUGGUCGAGUUCACAAGGCUAUUAAUACUCCAAAUGUCAACAAAAUAAUACCGAUAAAAUUAUCAAAAAGUUCAUCAAUUGGAAGUUUGAUUGUAUUAGAAAAUUCUAAAAAAAAUUCUGAUUUAUUAAAAAUUUGUAAAAAUCCUCCAAAAGUUCCACCCAAGCCAGAUAAAAUAAAAGCUAAAAAACAAGACAAUGAAAAUAAUAAUAUUAAAGAUCAAACUAAUAAAUUAAUUGCAUCAGUUGAAGAGAUAGAAAGACUUCAAAAAAAUUUAGUUAAAAUUGAUUCGUCAACUGCUGAAGCUUACAAGCAAAAAUUACCAAAUUUAAAUCAACAUAUUUUAAAAUUUUCUCCAAUUGUUGAUCUUGAUAUUAACGAAAAUGUAACUGAUAAUUUAUUUGACCGAGAUUUUCUUGCUGAUACAUCCAAGAUAGAAGAUAAUAUUUCUGAGAGUGAAAAUAUAUUGCCUGUUAAGCCAAGAUACAGUAAGGCUGUUUCUGAAGUAGAAAAACGUUGGUCCGGAGAAUAUUUGGAUCACGUGCUUGAUAAAAAUUCUUCAGAAUCAUCGAAAUCAUCUUACAUUGAAGAACUUGGUAGUAUAUCAUCACAUGAUAGUGUACUAGAAGAUAUUUCAGUUAAAUCUUUCAAAGAAAAUUCACAAUUAUCGUUUCAAAAAGAAAGCCACGAAAAUACUGUUAGUACUGUUGAUACAAAUUCUUGUUUUGAAGAGCGUAUUAUAGCAAUUGAUAAAUAUCUUGAAGAUGAAAAUGGCAAUGAGUCUGUGAGUAGUACUCUGAAUGAGUCAUCUUCAACGAAAACUUUUCAAAAUCCUACAGAAUUAGAAAAUAAUGAAAGCUUAGAAAUAAAUCAAGAAACUAAAAAUUAUUUUGACAAUAAUAACAAUCAAAAAGACGGUUACGCAAAUUUAAUUCAAGAAAUAACAAUGGAAGCUGGUUCAUCAAGAGGUAAUAAUAAAGAUGAGAAAAAAAAGAAAAGUGGAUUUAGGCGACUUUUGCCUGGAAUUUUUUCACCAAAAGAUCCUCGAAAAGAUUAUAAAAAAGAGCAUAAAGAACGAAAAAAACGUGAUGAAAGACACUUUAGUCAGCAUCAGCAAAAUGGAGUAUACACAAGAUCACCAGAUACAAUGAAUCUCAAUGAAGAUAUUAAACGAAAUGUCAAUUUAGAUACUAGUUUAAAUGGUUCAAUAAUUGAAGAAAGACUCAAUGAAAUAAAACAAGAACUUUUUCCUGAACAAGGUAUGACAACAAGUACACCAGAUCAUUUUUUACAACCUGAUCAUAAUGUUAUUCAUGGCAGACGAACUCCCAGAAUUUAUACAACAAAUUCAUCAUUAAGUUCAAUUGCUGUUGAAGAUAAAUGGAUUGAUCAAAAUAUAAUAUCUGGUUCUCCUGAUAUGAGACAAAUAAAACAAAAUAUUUUGAUACCAGCUAAUAAUAAUAAUAAUAAUGAGGGACAUCAUAGAACUGCCUUGGAGCGUAAACAUAGCUUUCAAGAUGCACAGCCACGAUUCUUCAGAAAUCAUGGUCCAUCUGGAAGAAUAUCAGCACCACCAUCUGAGAGGUAUCUCAUUCGACCUCGAGCAGUUCAUCCAGUAGACCGACCAUUGCCAGCAAUUCCACAAAAAAUUGAAUUUUCAAAUUAUGAAAACCAUGAAAGGGUUCAACAACAACAACAAGCAGCUAUGAAUCAUCAAGAAACACCAUAUUAUUGUGCUAAAGAAAAUUAUGUUUACGAUGCCCAGUUAUAUGAAAAUGGACGUCAUAUUGACAAGCCAGAUUUUAAUAGAAAUCAAAGUAUAGAUUCUGGUUUUAAUUCGACACCAGUAUCAGGACAGGCAAAAAUUAAUAAACAAUUAAUAGCUAAUCAACAAAUCAAUCAAAAAAUGCCUGUUCAUCUUGCAAGAAGUCCUAAGUAUUCACCAAGUUCUAGUCAGAAAUCUGGUGAUUAUGCAGACUCAAGUUACACUCCAAAUUCAAGUCAAAAAAGUGAAUUUUCACCUGGUAGUUCAAAGUCUGGUGAAUAUUAUUUAAAUUCACCGAGAAAUAGCUGUCGAACAUCACCAGACAGUAGUUUUAAUGAUCGAAGAGAUGGAGAACCUACGUCUUAUCAAGUUCCAUCAAAUAUUCGAGUUCAUAGUCAAGAUGAACAGCUUUAUGAUGAAGCUCCUCGUGCCUCACCUUAUGAACCUGAAGAAUUAUCAGCAAGUCCACGUCAUGAUGCCCAAAAUACUAAUCCUGAAGUGCCAUAUGUCCAGAAAGCAUCACCCAACAUUCCUUUAUCUUCAAACCUUGCAAAACUUAGAGCAAAUAUGGAACAUACUCGACCUGAAUCUCCACGAAGUCCAGAUAAUCAACAUACCCAUAUAACUUCAUCAAGUCCAUCACCAAGAUUGAAUGAGUCAAUAGAAAAACGAUCAACAAUUAAAUCACCAAUACCAAAUUCACCUCGAGUCACUUCACCUCUGACAAUUGUUCCUCCACCACCUUCCUCAGCAUCACCUUGCUCAAAUACAACUGUAUCAUCUUGUGAAAAAAUUCCAAGUCGAUCUGGAACACCAAAAAUUCAUGGUCCAGUUUCACCAAAUAGGCUUUCUAUUCAAACAAAUCAAGGACCAAAUCAAAAGCCAAUAUCAUCACCAACAAUGUGGAAUACACGAUCUUCUGGCUAUGGAGUUAUGUCAACUUUCCAACCACGAAAAUCUCAGCCAAGUGAUCAAAUUUUAAUAGCCUCUCCCAAGAGAGAACUUGUUUAUGAUACUGAAAGACUGGCUGAAUCUCCUGGUCAAGUGUCAAGUCUACAAGAAGGUCGUCAUAAUACACAUACAAUUGAUAAAAAAAAUAACUCAAAUAAUUCACCAACAGAUGUUGAAAUUUGUAAUCAACCACCACCACAAGCUUUUCAAGAUAAACCAACAUCUGAUUUGCCUCAAAAUGAAAUACAACGACCACAACCAAAAUAUGUUCAAAGGCAAGAAGCUGCCCAAAGAACAGUAUCACCUGUAAUCGUCAAUACGAAUGUUGAAAAAAAUAUUCCUCAAGUUUAUGAAGAACAAACAAGUAUGCUUCUCAUUAAAACUUGUACUGAAGAUGAUAAAAAAAUUAAAUCAAAUAUUCGACAAGAAGUAAAGUCACCUAAUCAUCAACAAAAUACAAAAACUUCACCGAAAAAUAAUACACAAAUUGUAGCUUCUCGUUUACCAAUUCCGGAAAUUCGAAAAGAGCCUAGCUUGUCUCCAGAACGGCCUGAUACUCUUCAUCUCCGUAGAAAAGAUACUAGCCCAUCUCACGAGAGACCUCAAGGUAUCUAUGGGGAUCAACGAAUGCUUCCUCAAAAUAGAAGUGCCUCGAAUGAACAAAUUUAUGGAAUUAGACCAAGACAACUACAAUUGCCUCAACAAACUCCCCAGAGACACGAAGCUCAAGUGCAUCAGCAAAAAAAGACUCCACCACCACAUCAGCUAUCACCACAAGUAGCUUGCUCUUCACCAAAACAGGCAGUGGUUUUAAAUAAAAGUCCUGAACAAAUUUAUGGAUGGCAAGUUGUUAGAGAACCAAUAUACGCCCAAAAAAAUCAAAAACAAGAUCCAAUCUACAGUCAAAAUCCCAAUCGUCAAUUAUCUCCAUCAAAAAAGCAGACAUUGCAAAAUUUAGAGGCAUAUUAUUGGCAACAAAAAGCUCUUGAGACAUCACGGUCCUCAACAAAUUCACCAACUACCUCCAAUCGAUCGACAGAAACAAAUACCUCAGGGGGUGGUGGACCGCCUGAAGUGCGAGAGGCAAUUUAUUGGCAACAGUUAAAAAAACUUGAUGAAGAACAACAGCGUAAAAUAUAUGAAAGAAAUCAAUUUGAAGAAAGAAAUGAAUUAUUAAAAAAAAAUAUACAAAGUCCUUCAUCAAUUAAUGAUGCAAAUAAUAGUGAACAAAUUUAUUGGAUGAAUAAAAUGCAACCAAAGCCAAUUAAUAUGGCAGCUAAGCCACCAAUUGCUGGUCAAAAAGGACAAAAUCAACCUGUACUAAUUGUAAGACCACAACAAGCACCAGUCAGAGAUUUAAAUCAAAAUCAAAUUAAUGAUCAAUUGAUAACACAAAAUGUGUCACCUAAUUUUAUAAGAGGUGAUGAACGUCGUAGUCUACAAUUGCCACGUCGUAAAGUUACAAUGGAACAUGACGAUGGUGGUUUUAAUGAAUCUAAAAUGGGAACAAUGAUACCAAAAAAAAAUAUUCAAAUAACAAAUUACGAAGACAAUGAUGAAAAAAAAAAUAAUCCACCUCCGAUUUUUAAGCGUGGUAGUCUUAUUAGUAAUUCAAGUAAUUCAGUUGAUUAUGGUACACUGGGAACAAAACGUGUGAGCUUUUCAAAUCAAGCAAAUUCACCAGAAAUUGGUUCAGGACAUUGGCCAACAAAACAUGGCAUGGCACCAGAACCACCAACUCGUAAACAUCGUGAAGAAGAUAAAACAUCUGACUCGAUAAAUUUAUCUUAUACUUCACGUGUUCAAGAAGAGAAUCAAAAUAAUACAAAUAAUAUUUAUGGGAAUACAACAUAUUUAAACCAACAACAACACCAACAGCAACAGCAACAACAACAACAACAACAACAACAUCAUCAACAACAACAACAAGUUAUUUAUCAACAAACUGAAUAUGAUGCUAAACCAUUGCCACCAACACCAAGAGGUGCUUGGACAAUGAAACGUAGCAAUAGUAUGAGAGAUUCAAGAAGAAACACAGACAUUAUUCAACAGCCAAUCUCUAAAUCACCAGUCAAUUCACAAAAAAGACCUGGUGUAUGUGAGAGUGAAAGUGGUAGUGAAGCUGGUGAAAUUUCCAGAACUUCACAGCAUCAUUCUGAUGAGGAGUGGAACCCUGGUGGUAAAGGUCGUCAAUCAAAUGACACGGGUGGUACAGGCAGAGUGGAGGGUGAGGGUGGAUCAAACGAUAUUCCAAGUGGUAGAAGAAUAUUGGGUAACAUUAGUGGUGGAAGAUCAGGUGGUUCAGGGGGUGGCGGUGGUCGUUCAAGGGACGAGCCAAGACGGCACACCCUUAGUGGUGAUCACGCGCCCUCCCUUCAUCAUCAACAAUUUAACGCUCAGCAACUUCAUCCACUGCAUCCUCAUCAUUUGCCACCUCCACACGGUCAAUACGGUACAUUACCCAACAGACAUACAACCAUGGAUCUCGAGAUGGGGACCAAGUCUCGCCAGAGAAAGUCGCCUUUGCCGAGGGGAUAUCCACCCCCGUCCACAGCAAUGCUUUUCGAUGACGACCCAGGUAUUAUGUCAGAGGUCGAAACCUCAAGUACUGGAUUUCGACGUGGUGGUAAACAAAGAAGCAGUCUACCAGUCGUACGAACACCAAGCAAAACUUUGGAGCGACCACUAGGUCUAGUAUUUCUCCAGUACAGAAAAGAAACAAAAAGAGCUUUAUUACCCAACGAAAUAACCAGUAUUGAUACAGUCAAAGCACUUUUUGUACGAAGUUUUCCAAAACAAUUAACAAUGGAAUAUCUUGACAUGCCUGAUGUUAAAAUUUACAUACACGAUAGCAACAAAGACAUGUUUUACGAACUUGAAGAUCACAGAUCACAUUUACGUGACAUAAGAGAUAGAAGUGUACUACGUUUGAUCGAAAAAACAGAUACACUUGUUGGUAUGCCUGGUGGUCCAGUUGGUAUACCAGUUGGUGGACAAGGUCUUCCACCACACUGGGAAGAUCCAAGUUAUUUCAGUGAACCAGAAUUCGACAGUGAAUUUCAACAUCAACAUAUUCACAAAAGCAAGACAGCUAAAAAUUCAAAUUCAGGCGGUUAUUAUAUGGGUGGUAGUAGCACACUGCCAAGAGGUGGAUCCAUCAUGAGAGCUUACAGUCCAGCAUCGUCAAUUUUAGCUGGACCAAAUGCAACUCCAACACAGCCAAAGACACUUGGUACACCAGGUGGUGGUGGUGGUGUUAGUAGUGGUGGUGUUGCACCAGCAAAACCCCUGCGUGGAUAUCAAUGUGGUAAGACACCCCUAGGAAGCCUGGGGGCCUCAGCACGCUUCUCUAGAGACAGCUCUGUAUCCCUCUAUAGUAUACCAGAUCGAAUUCAUGGUGAGAGUGGAUACAUGAGUAGUCCAGAAAGAACUGGUGGUGUUGGUAGCAGCAUUGGAAGAUAUCCAAUUGGUCCGUACAGUGCUGGUAGCAGUUAUGAAGAGCCAUACUAUUCACAAUAUUCCGGAACAGUUACACCAGUUAUUGACGAAGAAGCAAGUGACACUGAGCUGUUGGAGGAAUCAUACAGCUUGUAUGGUGUUAAACCAUCAGGUCGUCCACCAUCUGGUCCCCCAAGAUCCCCAUUUCCUCCAGGUGCACCAGCUCUACCUCCGGGUCCAACCUACGAUGUUACUCGGAUUAGAGUGGAACACAUGGAGAGACAACUUGCAAAUUUAACUGGUCUUGUGCAAAAAGCAUUGACACAUGCUCCACAUCCGAGUCCAUCACCAAGAGACUAUUUACAAGUUCCAGCUGGACGUGAUCCAUACGCCAGAAGUGCAGGCGCAGGAAAUGAGUUUGACAAAAACUCUAGUUCCAGCUCAGUCUCAAUGCCAGAUGACUCGUAUUUAAGGACUGAUGUUAAACCACCAAAACUAGGCAAAGACAAGUCGGUGUCUUUUGAAAAAUCAGUAUCAUUCAGUGAUGAGCCACCUGACAUGAAUUCACCAAAACAACACUCACCACAACAUGCAGCGGAUACAAAACCAACUAAACCAGCAAUAAAAUCAUCAACUUUGCCUCGGAUGUCAUCCCAAGAAAGAGAUAGACAUAAACCAACACCACCACCAAAACCAGUUGCACUAACAACUGGUCCAUAUGUUUAUCGUGAUUUAUCAUUAACACCAGAAAUGUAUAAUCAAUUACGUGGUUUACAAAAAAAAGCCAAAGAUCUACGUCAAGAAGUUAGAAAUUUGCGACGAAUGUCACAAGCACAAGCACAUACUGUUAGAGAAACAAUCAGAGAUACAUUUAUUACAAUUAGAUCAAUGCUUUUAACUGGAGGUGACGCCGCAUGGGCAGCUGGUGACACUGAAAAAAUACGUUUGAGUCGUGAAGAAGACCUCUACAAACAGGAAAUGAUAAGGCUGGAAAAUGAUCUAACCGAGCUAGAGAGUACAGUGGAGGAAUUACGAGGAAAUGUUAUCAAUCGAAAAACUCGUGUCAAUAUGUCUGAUGUUGAAAAUAUGGCUUUGAUAUUAAGUAAAUCUAGCAAAACAGUGGCUGAUUUAAAAGUACGUUUUCCAAAUUUACAAGAAGGUAUGAAAGGCCUUUUAAGUUCUGAAAUGGAAAAAGUUGUACGUGAAGAAAAAUUUUUAAAGGAAGAACCAGAAAGACUUGAAUCAGCUUUACGACGUUGUAAAAAAUUAACUGGAACACUCGUCACUUUAAAACGCUUGGCGUCGGUGCAAGAGCAGCGAUUACCAAAUGCAGUUAAUAUUGAUAAUGAAGAGACACCACCAACACCAACUUCAGCACAACAUUCAAAGUUGACUAAUACCGGACAACAAACUGUGCCAAUUGUUAAAGAGCCCAAAAUGAGUACUGACUUGUAAAACGCACACUACAAAAAUUUCAAAAAAAUAUAUAUUAAAUUAAAAUUUAUAAAAAAAAAAUGAUUAAGUAACCCAAGCACAGACAACUGCCCCUGUGCCAGCGGAACGCACUAUCAUGGGGUCAACGGGCCUCAUCGGGGGAGGGUCCUACCCUGGUGACUCAUCCACCGCCUAUCAGCAGCGUCCGGAGAACGCAC
Molecule: unclassified non-coding RNA, 8480 nt
Filed under: Aphidius gifuensis
Lineage: Eukaryota; Metazoa; Arthropoda; Insecta; Hymenoptera; Braconidae
Description: uncharacterized LOC122858652, transcript variant X1
Source: RNAcentral